This 2288-nucleotide long non-coding RNA is filed under the name Equus caballus (horse). RNAcentral describes it as "lncRNA (ENSECAG00000048356.1)". Lineage: Eukaryota; Metazoa; Chordata; Mammalia; Perissodactyla; Equidae. The record is from RNAcentral.
CUGAGGCAUGCAAUGAGGAGGUGGUUCUUCCCUUGCAAACGAAACUCAUCUUUACGGAACGACAUCUUUCAGGACUUCAAUUUUAAAACCUACGAAAAAUAAUAAGACAUAUGUUUUCACUUCUCUUGGGUAAAUACCUGGAAGUAGAAUUUCUGAGUCGUGGAGAAACAUAAACGUAAAAGGGAUAUAAUUGUCAAGACACUGGAAUCAAGAUGAAUGGAAGCUGAAAUAAUCUGGAAAGCAGAAUGGGUGGCAGUUAAAGGAACCUGGAGAAGUGACUGGCCAAGCAGAAGCAAGGGACUGAGAGAGAUGAUGGUUGCCUUCCGGUGGUUGUUUGAAAUGGGUUUUCUGGACCGUUAUGAAAGAAUCAUGGCCACCAAAAUUCCCUCAUCUAAUCUACCUGAGAGAUACCUAUGGUGGCUCUCAAUUGGCUCUCAAGUUGAAUUCCAUUUCCUGAUCCUGGGUGGAGCAUACAACCUGUUUGUCCUAUCAUCUGGCGACGCACAUUUGUUAAUGUCAAGCUUUGGAAAGAUUAGAUCCUCUAUGUGUCAUGGCUGUUAUACUACUUUUUCUGUUUCAUUUUCAAGCAGCUCUAUUGAAGUAUGAUUGAUAUACAAGGAAUUGCACAUAUUUAAUGUGUACAAUUUUAUGAGUUUGGACAUAGGCAAACACCUAUGAUACCAUCACCACAAUCAAGGGCAACCCAAAUGGAGACCAUAGUCCCCAGCCUCCUUUGCAGCCAUGUAUGGCCACUCAACUAAACUCUUGCUAAUAAAAUAGAAGCACAAGCAAUGUUUGCUCGAUCUGGACUUCCUCUGUUUCCUCUUCACACGUGCUGGAAGCCAAAUGAGGCAGCGGAGAACGCUGGGCAGAGGAGGGCUGCAUGCUAGGGGAUGGCACAGCACCAACGGGGAAGGAUAUCUUGAUGUCAUUGAGCCAUGUCUCUAAUCUACAUGUCGAAUUUGCAUGAGAAAGAAAUACACUUCUGUAUUGUAGCCAAUGUAUGUUUUUAUCUUUGUUGUGGAAGACAAUCUUUAUCCUAACUAAGCCAGAUAGGGUUUUUUUGUUGUUGUUGUCCUUGAUUAAUCAUUUUUAGUAUGCUUUCAACUUAUAAAUGGAAUAUGGAAUAAAUAUUUUAUUAUUUUCAUGAUAAAAAUGCUUUAUAUUUCUGUAGGGUAUUUCUUUUAUCAGGAUCUUUCUCCAUAUUCUGCUCUAUGAUAGUUACAACAAUCCUGUGGUGGCAGUUAAGAUGAUUCAUUAUCCCUAUUAUACAAGGAAGGAAACAAGUUGAUUCGCAAUUGGACCUUGAUCUUUCCAAAUUAUCUCAGGAACUUGUACAAGUUCAGAGGAAAUGUAGAUUGAUGACUAUAUAUUAAUGUCAAUGAAAAAUAUUUUAUUAAAUUAAAACCCACGAUUUUAAUAAGGUAUCUCACUCUUUUGUAGAACUUAAUAAAUAUAGCUUUUUAAAACUGCAUUCAUUUAACUAAUUUAUCUCUUUAAUAAAAUAAAAAUAUAUUAAUUAGUGCAUUUUCAAAUUAAAUGUCUGAAAUAUUAAGAAAUCUUACAUUUACUUUCUUUUUCUAUUUAUAAAUGUAGCAAAUUUGGAAAAUAUAAAGGAGAUGUUAAAAAUUACUCAUAGUCCUAAAUAAUUCAAAUUAAACACUAUUAAUCUUCAUCAAAAUUAUUUUAGUAAUUUCAUGGAUAUCCAUGUUUUCAUGAAUUUAUGAACGAAUUUUUAAAUGACAUAUUUUAUACUUGCUUAUUGUAAAACUAAGUAACAGAGGAAAGAAAAAUCUGAAAAUUAUGUGUAACUACAAGACUCAGAGAUAACUACUGUUAAUAUAUGUGUAUACUUAUUUACAAAAAUAAAAAAUGCUGUUUUAAACAUUUUCACUUAAUGAUAAUGGCUAACAUUCAAGAUCCCCAUUAGGGCCAGGCGCUGCACUACAAAUGUUCCACCCAUUUACCUUGUUUAACAUUCAGAAGAAGCCUGUAAGGUAAGUGCUAUAAUUAUCACCAUCUUUACACAAGGAGGAACUGAGGCUUGGGUAUGUUAAACAACUUAGGAAUCAUAAUGAAGGUAUGAAAGUAUCAAAUAGUGUCACAGGUUGUCUGUAUGCAAAACCUGCACUCCAGACAUUUUGCUAUGCUAUUUGAAUGUCAAGAAACAUGACGCUGCAAUGUAUCCCAUCCUAUGCAUAUGCCACAAGUGUCCCAAUCAAUCUUUUACUUCUGGCUAUAUAAGUUGUUUCCUAAUAUUAACAGCAUGUAUUUGUUGUUAAACCUUC